This 379-nucleotide long non-coding RNA is filed under the name Monodelphis domestica (gray short-tailed opossum). RNAcentral describes it as "lncRNA (ENSMODG00000036729.1)". Lineage: Eukaryota; Metazoa; Chordata; Mammalia; Didelphimorphia; Didelphidae. The record is from RNAcentral.
UAAAAUGACUUCACUUUGGUGUUGGAAAGCUCCUGACUCCAGCUUCUAAUGGCUGUCAUAAGUAAUUGGUAUUUUUAGGUUCCCAAGAAAACAUUUCUGAAAAGGACAGCUAUACAUUUUUAUGGGAAAAUAAGCAAAUUUUCAUCCUUUGUGGACCCCUGUAGGAGUUGAGAGUCUAAUCAAGGUACUUUGUUUGGAUCAUGCCAGCUGACCUGGGUGAAUGAAAUUUUUGCUGUAUCAUCUACUUAUGAGAGAAAAUUUGAUUGUGAGUUCAGUUUCAUUAUCCAUCAUCAGGGAUGGAAAAGAAGUGGUUUGGAGUCUAUGCCAGUCAAAGAUACCUUGGGUGCCAAGCAGAAAAGAAACACCUUGGGGUUCUUAA